CACGACUCUGCCCUCGUACCCCUGCCGGUUCCUGUAUGGGUUUCCUACCUACCCCUUCAGCUGAGUUUCUUCCCGUUCCCUUCCUCCCUGACUGUUCCACCUGCCUGCAGUCUGAUUGCAGCAAUGAGAAUCAGCUGCCGUAAUUGGCUCACACCAGUCACCUGUUUGCAAUUCCACCUCCCAGCAUAUAAGCCAGCUCUGUCAUUCACUCCCUGCUCCACCGUGGACGCGCACAUCCUGCGUCGACUCGUGACCACCAGAGCUUCUUGGACACGACUCUGCCCUCGUACCCCUGCCGGUUCCUGUAUGGGUUUCCUACCUACCCCUUCAGCUGAGUGUCUUCCCGUUCCCUUCCUCCCUGACUGUUCC
This is a long non-coding RNA of Amphiprion ocellaris (clown anemonefish), 369 nucleotides long. The record is from Ensembl. NCBI's taxonomy places the organism in Eukaryota, Metazoa, Chordata, Actinopteri, Pomacentridae.